GACGAAUGCUGGCGGCGUGCUUAACACAUGCAAGUCGAACGGGAUUUAGUAGACAGAAGCCUCGGCUAAAGAUUACUAAUGAGAGUGGCGAACGGGUGAGUAACGCGUGAGCAACCUGCCUAUGACAGUGGGAUAGCCUCGGGAAACCGGGAUUAAUACCGCAUAAAAUCGUAGAAACACAUGUUUUAACGGUCAAAGAUUUAUCGGUCAUAGAUGGGCUCGCGUCUGAUUAGCUAGUUGGUGAGAUAACAGCCCACCAAGGCGACGAUCAGUAGCCGGUCUGAGAGGAUGAACGGCCACAUUGGAACUGAGACACGGUCCAAACUCCUACGGGAGGCAGCAGUGGGGAAUAUUGCACAAUGGGGGAAACCCUGAUGCAGCGACGCCGCGUGAACGAAGAAGGUAUUCGUAUCGUAAAGUUCUGUCCUAUGGGAAGAUAAUGACAGUACCAUAGAAGAAAGCUCCGGCUAAAUACGUG
RNAcentral lists this ribosomal RNA (478 nucleotides) under uncultured bacterium. RNAcentral describes it as "partial 16S ribosomal RNA". It matches the Rfam family "Bacterial small subunit ribosomal RNA", at positions 28 to 507 of the family's 1533-position model. The record is from RNAcentral.